UAAGGCAGAGCCUGGCACCAAUGACAGAACCAGCAGUCUAUUGAGGUAAAAACCAGCACUCUGAUAAAUAAAACUUUUUUCUGAUUUAUAGACCGUAAGUGGGCUUUUGACCCUUGACUCAUGAAAAUCUGCACCAUACAAAGGCCUGGGAAGAGAGACAUGGAGGAAGGCAGACCAAGAAAAACAUAGCUCUCUUCUCCAAUAUCCUUCUUCCCAGUGUAGUUUUAUAAAAAAGUAAGAUGUUGGUAAAGCAGGAAAAAUGGACUAUAAGGGACUGACACUGAAAAGAGCUGAGUUAGUGACAAGACAAGAGAUAAAGAGAGCAAGAAAAGAAAAAAGGCAGACAAGUGUCCUGAUAAGUGGUGGUGGGAAAUCAGCUGGGAGAGAGUGUUAUGGCCCUCAGCAAUGAACAAAUCUCAAAAUCUCAGGAUCCGAAGAUCUUUCAGAGAAUUGGCUUACUCAUAAGGUCUAGACUUGGCUAGAUUGUGCAAGUCAACCGAAGGUAUUUUUUAAAUAGAACCUCAAAAUUUUGAAUCCUGAAAACAAACUCAAUUUUAUAAUCAAGAGAAACAGUAUUAAUCAAAGCUUAGUUAUCCCAAGUCAAGUUUUCAGUGUUCAUUUCUGGAGGUGAAAGGAUUAAAAAACAAACAA
Neopsephotus bourkii (Bourke's parrot) is the source of this 651-nucleotide long non-coding RNA. RefSeq lists it as uncharacterized. Lineage: Eukaryota; Metazoa; Chordata; Aves; Psittaciformes; Psittacidae. The transcript is spliced from 2 exons. The record is from RefSeq and is a predicted model, not a curated record.